CCUAUGCAGACGUAGUGCCGGUACAGCGUCAGUUGUGGUUGUGGUGCUCAUCUCAUUUUACCAGAAAGCAAUAAACACUACAUAUGUAGUCCUACAAUAGAGGCGUCAUAUCAGAUUAAUAUCUGUGGGUCAAGUGUUCGCUCCGCUUUUAUAGCAGUGCAAUAAACAUUACAUUUGUAUUUCUAUGAUUGAGCAAGUUAUAUUGAAGCAUUGCUCGACCACGGACGAAUACAUCAAUGAAAGUUAGAUAUGAUAUUCACGCGAUUGCACCAUAAAAUGCCCUUAGUUUCUUAGUACUGACCUAUGUACUCUAACGUGAGCGCUGACGUUACGUCGCACCAUAAGUUACCCUUUAAACACCACUGUUGUCGACGUGCCUGGUAAGCUCACGAUGUGCACACAGCUACUACGAUUACAAGAACACGUAAAUCCACCUUGUAACGCUUAGCUCAAAGCCAUGAAAUACAGCAGUGAGGUAUUCACCGACUGCUUCGGAUGAAACGGAUUCCCACAACGCAUGGAAUCUGCCGAAUUUUCGCUGCAAUUCACGCAUAUUAUAAAAUAACUAAGUGCUCUCACGCGUCUUAUUGGUACGCAUUAUUCCUUACUUCCCGAGCGUCAUUCUCCUUUUCUAUAUAAAUUUAUAUGAACAUUUCUGUGAAUACUAAACGCUAGACUAACAUUUCAUUGCAUUCAAAUAAGUUUGGGUGUGUGUCAUAGAUGACAGUGGUCCGCUUUGAAAGACGAUGAUUGUCGUAAAGCAGGCCAAUUUCAAACCGAACCUUCACGAAUAAAAAGCUUUGUGAAUAUAGCUGAUCCUCAAGCGAAUUGUUGGAACCGUCUGUGCCUAAUCAGAUUUUAAAGCUACUUGUUUUGAUGCGCUUUUUGAUGCUUACGUAAAAACGAUAUUAAACAUUUUUUGUCUCCUCUUUCCCCUCCCUAGCUCCUCCUCCAGUUCUAGCAGCCAGUAAGCAGCGAAUGCCGUCAUAGCUUGGGUUGCUUACGUCAACGCGAUUCAUGGUGCGUCCUCGGCCUUUUAAAAAACGGAGUCAUAAGAUUAUCCGGUGCAGUGAACCAACACAAUUUGGAACUAUUUCGCUAACUUCUGAGACAUCAAUAAAAUAACGUAUUCCAGUGCAACUAAA
Long non-coding RNA from Rhipicephalus sanguineus (brown dog tick), 1145 nucleotides. RefSeq lists it as uncharacterized. The transcript is spliced from 2 exons. NCBI's taxonomy places the organism in Eukaryota, Metazoa, Arthropoda, Arachnida, Ixodida, Ixodidae. The record is from RefSeq and is a predicted model, not a curated record.